AAGGUUCUGACGCCCGAGCCCAGCGCGGGCUUGGGCCUCCGCUGUCGGGCCAGGCUGGUCGCUCCGGGGCUGGGAGUUACGGCACCGGGGUUGGGGCGGAGAAGGCGAACUGGUUCAACUCGACCCAGUUAAGCAAGCGCAGCAGUGUGUGUUCUUGGAUCAUAGUAUUUCAUGUAAACAUUUUGAUUUAAGAGAAACAAAAGGGAAAAUAUUAACCGUUUUCAAGCAUCCAAAGGCGAAAUGCUUCAUCUCUGGGAUGGAGUAAAGGAGUAGCCUCUGAGGUUGAGUUGCAGUCGUGGGUGCAAGAAGCAGCGCUGAAGCGGAGUGCAGCGCCGGAAUAGGGCGGGAUGGAAUGGCGUGGGCAGUUCAGAAACCCGCGAGGAGUCCAGGGCGGAACAGAAGAAGACACGUAGAUAAAUGAGCACAGAGGGAAGAAGGUCAUUUGGAGAUAGAAGCAGGGAUUGGAGUGAUGCAACUGGAAGCCAAGAAACGCCGCAGAAUGCCAGGAGCCAGCAGAAGCUAAGAAAAGGCAAGGAUUAUUCCAAAGUGCCUUCCGAAGAAGCUUGGCCCUGCCAAAAACCUGAUUUCAGACUUCUAGCCCCCAAAACUGCAAGAGAAUAAAUUUUGUUGUUUUAG
This 636-nucleotide non-coding RNA is filed under the name Pongo abelii (Sumatran orangutan). The record is from RNAcentral. Lineage: Eukaryota; Metazoa; Chordata; Mammalia; Primates; Hominidae.